Molecule: ribosomal RNA, 260 nt
Filed under: uncultured bacterium
Lineage: Bacteria
Description: partial 16S ribosomal RNA
Rfam family: Bacterial small subunit ribosomal RNA
Source: RNAcentral
AGGGCAGCCAAGUCGUGAGGCGGAGCUAAUCCCUUAAAGCCAUUCUCAGUUCGGAUUGUAGGCUGAAACUCGCCUACAUGAAGCUGGAGUUACUAGUAAUCGCAGAUCAGAGUGCUGCGGUGAAUGCGUUCCCGGGUCUUGUACACACCGCCCGUCACACCACGGAAGUUGGGGGCGCCCGAAGCCACUUAGCUAACCCUUUUGGGAAGCGAGUGUCGAAGGUGAAAUCAAUAACUGGGGUGAAGUCGUAACAAGGUAGC